Molecule: transfer RNA, 77 nt
Filed under: bacterium
Lineage: Bacteria
Description: tRNA-Asp
Rfam family: tRNA
About the family: Transfer RNA (tRNA) molecules are approximately 80 nucleotides in length. Their secondary structure includes four short double-helical elements and three loops (D, anti-codon, and T loops).
Source: RNAcentral
GGGGGCGUGGUCUAGUGGACUAGGAUGCCUGCCUGUCACGCAGGAGGUCGCGAGUUCGAAUCUCGUCGCCCCCGCCA